Polypterus senegalus (gray bichir) is the source of this 849-nucleotide long non-coding RNA. RefSeq lists it as uncharacterized. The record is from RefSeq and is a predicted model, not a curated record. The transcript has 5 exons. Lineage: Eukaryota; Metazoa; Chordata; Cladistia; Polypteriformes; Polypteridae.
AACAGAUCUGGAGUGUUCAUUCUGUAUUUUCCUUGGUUAUUUUAUGCACAGAGGAUACUGGCUCCACAGCAGAAAUCCAUGUGAGCAGGAUACACUGACACCCUCCUGCGACUAUGGAAUUUGACCUCUACCUGCAGUUCUAAUCAUUUCACUCUGAAAUCACAAUCUUCAAAAAAUCAAACAAAAUAAUUCAGGGAUUUGUAGGAAGCAAAAAUUGCAUUAAAAGUCGGAACAACAGGGGUUAUGGAAAUUUGUCAGGAACAGCCAAGAGGGAGGGGAAAAAAGACUAUCUAGUAACUAGUGGAUUUGUUGGGUUCCUCAUAUCAAAUAACAACAAGUGAAAUGUACAAGAAGAGAGGAGGAGUGGUUAGGAGCAUGCAGUGAUACAGCUGCUGGCUUGUUGCUGCCGUGCGAUCUGCACUUUGCUACGCGCCAUUGUGAAGAGGUAUAUAUAUUGUGAUAGAUGAAUGGGGACCUUGCCCCACUGGAAGACCUGGAGAAGCAGGGAGAGGAGCAAUUCCUACCCCGGGACGCAAGAUGGCAGCACUCCAGGAUUACAUGGGAACCACGGAGCUGGGAAGCUCAAACCUGUGGGAAUCUGUAGCUAUCACCAGGGGGUGCCUGGAUGUUUCCAGAGCCAUGGACUGCAGCACUUUCACCACACAAGGAAGUGCUACCGGAACAGAAACCAGGUCUGCAAGCAAAAGACUCUCCUGCUCAUUGCUCUUUCAAGAACUACACAGCAUAUGGACCAAGUUUACACUUUUCACUGAAAGAAAUUGAAAGGAAGACAAAGACCCAGGCUGAUGUAGCACCAUGAUGCCCCAGCACUGUUGGACUAAAAGCCAG